Molecule: transfer RNA, 59 nt
Filed under: Muribaculaceae bacterium
Lineage: Bacteria; Pseudomonadati; Bacteroidota; Bacteroidia; Bacteroidales; Muribaculaceae
Description: tRNA-His
Rfam family: tRNA
About the family: Transfer RNA (tRNA) molecules are approximately 80 nucleotides in length.
Source: RNAcentral
AGCUCAGUUGGUUAGAGCGUCGGAUUGUGGUUCCGAAGGUCGUGGGUUCGAAACCCACA